UUAGAACGUGGUGUAAUGUGGUAGCACGAAGAUUUUUGAAUUCUUAGGAUUAGGUUCAAGUCCUAUAGUUCUAG
RNAcentral lists this transfer RNA (74 nucleotides) under Genetta servalina. RNAcentral describes it as "tRNA-Gln". It matches the Rfam family "tRNA". Rfam says of the family: Transfer RNA (tRNA) molecules are approximately 80 nucleotides in length. The record is from RNAcentral. Lineage: Eukaryota; Metazoa; Chordata; Mammalia; Carnivora; Viverridae.